UGAGGAGGUAUCCCUUGUGGAACUCCAGGGGGAGGUAUUCCUGGAGGAGGUGUAGCUGAAGACAAUGGUGGGAGGGGCAUGACAGGUGGAGGUGCUGUUGAAGAGAGAGAUGGUGGGGGGAGAACUGGUGGUGGCCCUGCAGAAGAGAGAGAAGGAGGCAUCCCUGGUGGGGGAACAGAGGUUGGUAGAGAAGGUGGCAUAACAGGUGGGGGCAUGCCAGGUGGUGGCACUGUA
RNAcentral lists this long non-coding RNA (234 nucleotides) under Homo sapiens (human). Its description in RNAcentral is "HSALNT0213168". The record is from RNAcentral. Lineage: Eukaryota; Metazoa; Chordata; Mammalia; Primates; Hominidae.